CCGGACCUGACUGCUAUCGGAUUGGUACUAAGCCAUGCGAGUCAUUGUAGCAAUACAAGGCGGACGGCUCAGUAACACGUAGUCAACCUAACCUAUGGACGUGGAUAACCUCGGGAAACUGAGAAUAAACCGCGAUAGAUCAUUAUGCCUGGAAUGGCUUAUGGUUCAAACAAUUUAUUGCCGUAGGAUGGGACUGCGGCCUAUCAGCUUGUUGGUGAGGUAAUGGCCCACCAAGGCUAUAACAGGUACGGGCUCUGAGAGGAGAAGCCCGGAGAUGGGUACUGAGACACGGACCCAGGCCCUAUGGGGCGCAGCAGGCGAGAAACCUUAGCAAUGUGCGAAAGCACGACUAGGUUAAUCCGAGUGAUUCCUGUUGAAGGAAUCUUUUGUCAGUCGUAAAACCACAGACGAAUAAGGGGUGGGCAAGUCUGGUGUCAGCCGCCGCGGUAAUACCAGCACCUCGAGUGGUCAGGAGGUUUAUUGGGCCUAAAGCAUCCGUAGCCGGCUUUGCAAGUCUCCGGUUAAAUCCAGCUGCUCAACAGAUGGGCUGCCGGAGAUACUACACAGCUAGGGAGCGGGAGAGGCAGACGGUAUUCUGUGGGUAGGGGUAAAAUCCACUGAUCCAUAGAGGACCACCAGUGGCGAAGGCGGUCUGCCAGAACGCGCUCGACGGUGAGGGAUGAAAGCUGGGGGAGCAAACCGGAUUAGAUACCCGGGUAGUCCCAGCUGUAAACGAUGCAAACUCGGUGAUGCAUUGGCUUAUGGCCAAUGCAGUGCCGCAUGGAAGCCGUUAAGUUUGCCGCCUGGGAAGUACGGACGCAAGUCUGAAACUUAAAGGAAUUGGCGGGG
Molecule: ribosomal RNA, 849 nt
Filed under: uncultured archaeon
Lineage: Archaea
Description: bacterial SSU rRNA
Rfam family: Archaeal small subunit ribosomal RNA
Source: RNAcentral